Epinephelus moara (kelp grouper) is the source of this 1795-nucleotide long non-coding RNA. RefSeq lists it as uncharacterized. The transcript has 2 exons. Lineage: Eukaryota; Metazoa; Chordata; Actinopteri; Perciformes; Serranidae. The record is from RefSeq and is a predicted model, not a curated record.
UGUAGAGAAGGACGCAGAAAGAAAGGCGAAAAUAUACAAUUAUUUAUUAGCAACUAAUCAAGAAACCUUUACAAAGAAUCAGCAACUUACAUGCUUGUUUACUGCAACGGAUAUUUGAAGACAGAUUCCUUGUCAUCAGUUAUGAAUUCUUAUGAAAUUGUCUUUAAAAGUACAAUACAGCUGAAGUCUGCUCUUCACAAACAAAACAACAUCCUAUCUGGGUUAUCAUCCUCACACUCAAUCAUCUGAAUCACCAUCGCCAUGCCUCCUCUACACUCUUUGUUGUUCUUAUCUAACGUUGGAGCUUUGUUAGCUGCUGUUGGCAGUGUUUCCAGACUGGCCGGGCUUUUCCAAAGGAAGGCCUGACAUACGUACAUCCUGACAGGAGGUAGAGGGGAGUGAGAACAAAACUAGUUUGGAAAAAAGGCGGUGAUGGAGGAAUGGGGCUAGUUAACCCUUCUCCCGCAUGUCUUCCUGUUUUUGUAUGGCAAGGCUCCAAAGAGGACGAAUGCAGGGAGAGAAGGGGGUGAAGUGUAGUUGCAUCCGCAGCCUGACGCAGAAAGGUAAAUAUUUAACUGUGAUAGAGAUGUGAUGAGGGGAGAGCAGGGAGUAAAAAGGAGCUGGAGGGGGGAGUGAGGGUGAUGUAUUAGCUGAAGAGAAGGGAGGGCAGAAGUGAAGGUGGAUGAUGAAAAGGUGGGGAGUUUGCAUAUUUGUGAACAGUAAAAGCAAGGUUGUGAAAGCAGCUAUGUGACCCAAUGGACCUUGCUCUGAUACACUGCACUCUACAGGUGAGAUCUAACCUUUCCUGGUCUUCAUUUGAACUGGAGUAAACACAGAUAAUAAAGUGCCUUCAAAUGGACUGCCUUCACAAGAUAGCAGAUGAUAGGAUGGAAUUUUAUCUGCUUUGUGUUAAAGCAUGCAAACUGCACUUUAUCUUCCUUUAAUCAUUGUGCCAGGAGGAGAGUUGACAUGUAACCAAUCAGCUGGCAUUGACCAGAACAUGAAACUACUGGCCUUUUUAAAUAUUAACCCACUGCUGAGGCCCCAGAGGACAGAUACACUCCUGAGUGUUAGAUACUGGACUUAAAUGCUGAUUUGAAUGAUUAAAAGUCAGCACACUCCCAAUGGACACUCCUUUUAAAAUGUGCCACAAUGAAAGGAGGUUUUGUUAUUAAGGUAACAAUAGCACUCAGUACUGACUGAGUGUGUAUGUGUGUGUUUGAGAGGGGUGGGGGCCACCAGGGCAGCAGAAAGAGCCACACCCCAGCUAUGGGAGGGCCCAUUCCCAAGGUAACUCGUAUCACAAGCCCUGAGCUCUGCCUGGACACACCCUUAGCUUUCUCUCUCUCUUUCUCUCUCUUUGUCUUUCUCAGUCUCUCCUUUCUGCAAGUCUGUUUUUCAUCACUAUAAAAGGGCAGCCUGAGCCAAAAGAUAGAGAGCCUAACCCUAAGUUUGAGCUACAGCACAUUUUUUUCCUGCUUGAGUGCAUUCGUGGGAGGUGACGAAAGCAGAGGAGGGAAUAAAUCAACUUUUACCACACAGCAAAACUUCCCUCAGAUAUGGUGGGGAGAGCAGUGAUGGCUGGGACUGUGAAGCAAGCCAAGCAGUGCAGGGAUUAAAGACAUGAAUAACAUGCAGCAUUAAACAAGGAUGUUGUGGGUGUCGUUAGUGUUAUGUUCAUGGAUGAUUUGUGUAUAUUCAAAUAUAUGGAAAAUGAUUCAGUGUUCUCUCAAUUGUGAAUUGAAGUCAAAAGGAACUAUUUUCACUUCACAAAUAUAUGACAUGAAGUACUUUA